This 467-nucleotide ribosomal RNA is filed under the name uncultured bacterium. RNAcentral describes it as "bacterial SSU rRNA". It matches the Rfam family "Bacterial small subunit ribosomal RNA", at positions 63 to 525 of the family's 1533-position model. The record is from RNAcentral.
CGAGCGGCAGCGCGGGGGCAACCCUGGCGGCGAGCGGCGAACGGGUGAGUAAUGUAUCGGAACGUACCCAGUCGUGGGGGAUAACUAUCCGAAAGGAUAGCUAAUACCGCAUACGUCCUGAGGGAGAAAGCGGGGGACCGAAAGGCCUCGCGCGAUUGGAGCGGCCGAUAUCGGAUUAGCUAGUUGGUGAGGUAAAGGCUCACCAAGGCGACGAUCCGUAGCUGGUCUGAGAGGACGACCAGCCACACUGGAACUGAGACACGGUCCAGACUCCUACGGGAGGCAGCAGUGGGGAAUUUUGGACAAUGGGGGCAACCCUGAUCCAGCCAUUCCGCGUGAGUGAAGAAGGCCUUCGGGUUGUAAAGCUCUUUCAGCAGGAACGAAACGGUGGCUCCUAAUACGAGUUACUAAUGACGGUACCUGAAGAAGAAGCACCGGCUAACUACGUGCCAGCAGCCGCGGUAAUA